Molecule: ribosomal RNA, 229 nt
Filed under: uncultured bacterium
Lineage: Bacteria
Description: partial 16S ribosomal RNA
Rfam family: Bacterial small subunit ribosomal RNA
Source: RNAcentral
CGGGGUGAGUAAUGCUUGGGAAUCUAGCUUAUGGAGGGGGAUAACUACGGGAAACUGUAGCUAAUGCCGCGUAAUAUCGAAAGAUUAAAGUGUGGGACCUUCGGGCCACAUGCCAUAGGAUGAGCCCAAGUGGGAUUAGGUAGUUGGUGAGGUAAAGGCUCACCAAGCCGACGAUCUCUAGCUGGUCUGAGAGGAUGACCAGCCACACUGGGACUGAGACACGGCCCAG